UGAGGAAUAUUGGGCAAUGCCCGAAUGGGUGACCCAGCAACGCCGCGUGGAGGAUGAAGGUCGUAAGAUUGUAAACUCCUGUUAGAGGGGAAGAAUAACUAAGUUUGGAGCUUAGUAUGACUGUACCCUUAGAGAAAGCCCCGGCUAACUACGUGCCAGCAGCCGCGGUAAUACGUAGGGGGCAAGCGUUGUCCGGAUUUACUGGGUGUAAAGGGCGCGCAGGCGGAAUGGAAAGUCAGUGGUGAAAUCCUACAGCUUAACUGUAGAACUGCCUUUGAUACUUUCAUUCUUGAGUUCGGGAGAGAGAGACGGAAUUCCAGGUGUAGUGGUGAAAUACGUAGAUAUCUGGAAGAACACCAGUUGCGAAGGCGGUCUCUUGGUCCGAUACUGACGCUGAGGCGCGAAAGCGUGGGGAGCAAACA
Molecule: ribosomal RNA, 422 nt
Filed under: uncultured bacterium
Lineage: Bacteria
Description: bacterial SSU rRNA
Rfam family: Bacterial small subunit ribosomal RNA
Source: RNAcentral